Molecule: ribosomal RNA, 253 nt
Filed under: uncultured bacterium
Lineage: Bacteria
Description: partial 16S ribosomal RNA
Rfam family: Bacterial small subunit ribosomal RNA
Source: RNAcentral
UACGUAGGGGGCAAGCGUUAUCCGGAUUUACUGGGUGUAAAGGGGGCGCAGACGGCAGCGCAAGCCAGGAGUGAAAGCCCGGGGCCCAACCCCGGGACUGCUCUUGGAACUGCGCGGCUGGAGUGCAGGAGGGGCAGGCGGAAUUCCUGGUGUAGCGGUGAAAUGCGUAGAUAUCAGGAGGAACACCAGUGGCGAAGGCGGCCUGCUGGACGAUGACUGACGUUGAGGCUCGAAAGCGUGGGGAGCAAACAGG